UUGGAGGGCAAGUCUGGUGCCAGCAGCCGCGGUAAUUCCAGCUCCAAUAGCGUAUAUUAAAGUUGUUGCAGUUAAAAAGCUCGUAGUUGAAUUUCGGGAUCAAUUUAUUGGUCGUGCCAACGGUACGCACUGGUACAAUUGGUUUCUCCCUUCUGACGAAGCAUGAUGUCAUUAAUUUGAUGUCGUGGGGAGUCAGGACUGUUACUUUGAAAAAAUUAGAGUGUUUAAAGCAGGCUUUGGCUUGAAUACAUUAGCAUGGAAUAAUGAAAUAGGACGUUUGAUCUUAUUUCGUUGGUUUCUAAGAUCGACGUAAUGAUUAAUAGGGAUAGUUGGGGGCAUUAGUAUUCAAUUGUCAGAGGUGAAAUUCUUGGAUUUAUUGAAGACUAACUACUGCGAAAGCAUUUGCCAAGGAUGUUUUCAUUAAUCAAGAACGAAAGUUAGGGGAUCGAAGACGAUCAGAUACCGUCGUAGUCUUAACCAUAAACUAUGCCGACUAGGGAUCGGAUGAUGUUAAUUUUUUAAUGACUCAUUCGGCGCCUUACGGGAAAC
This 549-nucleotide ribosomal RNA is filed under the name uncultured Glomeromycotina. RNAcentral's name for it is "SSU rRNA". It matches the Rfam family "Eukaryotic small subunit ribosomal RNA", at positions 548 to 1098 of the family's 1831-position model. The record is from RNAcentral. Lineage: Eukaryota; Fungi; Glomeromycota.